CGCGUAGGCGGUUUUACAAGUCAGAUGUGAAAGCCCAUGGCUCAACCAUGGACGUGCAUUUGAAACUGUAAGACUUGAGUAUUGGGAGGGGGUGGUGGAAUUCCCGGUGUAGAGGUGAAAUUCGUAGAUAUCGGGAGGAAUACCAGUGGCGAAGGCGACCACCUGGCCAAAUACUGACGCUCAUGUGCGAAAGCGUGGGGAGCAAACA
This 208-nucleotide ribosomal RNA is filed under the name uncultured delta proteobacterium. RNAcentral's name for it is "partial 16S ribosomal RNA". It matches the Rfam family "Bacterial small subunit ribosomal RNA", at positions 568 to 774 of the family's 1533-position model. Lineage: Bacteria; Deltaproteobacteria. The record is from RNAcentral.